UUCCAACAACGACAGCUAAUUUUAGGCACCAAAACGACAGGUUAAGUUCAGGAAAAAGAUCGUGGU
Molecule: long non-coding RNA, 66 nt
Organism: Etheostoma cragini (Arkansas darter)
Lineage: Eukaryota; Metazoa; Chordata; Actinopteri; Perciformes; Percidae
Exons: 3
Source: RefSeq, a predicted model, not a curated record